CCAUCUCAUCCUCUCUCUCCAUCUCUUCCUCUCUCUCUGUGUUUUUCCCCAAUAGAUUUUUACAGAUUCCAUUUGACAAGCAAAACUAAAUGGAAAUUUUUCUAAAUCAAAUUUACGUUGUAGCAUUUUUUCUAUACGAGGAUUUUGUCGGUUUUUUUUGGGUUAGUCAUGGCUUGCGGAGCAAAACAACAGAUUUUAAUCACCUUAAUUAGUUUACGGUUGCGAUUUCGCAAAAACGAAACAAAGUGAAACCGAAAAAUGUAGACCAAAAAUAAGGGCGAAAAAAGAAACUUCCGAGAAGUCGGGGAUUCGAAUACUCUUUGUUUUGGGUUUCUGCCAUUCGUUUUUAUGAGCUAUUUGGAACCUUUAUCCAACUUUUCCUUAAAAUUGUGGACGCUAUUCCGAUGACAUCUGUAUGGAUCUUGGACACCUAUGGAACCAUUUGAAUGGGAAUGCGAAUCGGUGGGUCGGAGGGUUGAAUGGUUUGAGGG
This 491-nucleotide small RNA is filed under the name Drosophila pseudoobscura pseudoobscura. Its description in RNAcentral is "GA32298". Lineage: Eukaryota; Metazoa; Arthropoda; Insecta; Diptera; Drosophilidae. The record is from RNAcentral.